RNAcentral lists this long non-coding RNA (848 nucleotides) under Daucus carota (carrot). RNAcentral's name for it is "long non-coding RNA (DCAR_LNC000107)". The record is from RNAcentral. Lineage: Eukaryota; Viridiplantae; Streptophyta; Magnoliopsida; Apiales; Apiaceae.
CUCCAUUCAACCGGAAUUAAUAAUUAUCCAAUUUACUCAGAUAUUGCAAAGUGACAUAGCCAAUUAACCACCAAAACCAAAAGUAAUUAUAAACAAUAAAACUGUGUCAAGAAACACACCUAAGCAACUUUCUUAUAAAAAAUGCAAACUUAUCUAUGAUUCAAGUGAUGCCCGGCAUUGUAAAACAGAAAUCCGCAGGCUUGCAUGACUACAUAACCGUACUUUUUUCUUGGGUUGUUCAUCUUAUAAAUUAUUAGACAACGUCCCUCAAUUUUUCAUAGCCUUGCCAUACAAAAUAAAAGAGGAAAUCAGCUUGGAAUAGUUUGACCAUCAAAUUUUACAUUUGUAAUAACGUCAAAGAACUGCAUACAUGCAUGGGGAAGGACAUAGCUGAAGUGGACUCUUUCCAUUUACCUUGAUUAUUUACUUAAUUAGUAGCCUUGCCGUGGCAAUCUCCUUAUAAAGAGAGAAAAAUUAGUUUCUGUGUCAGGGAUACAUCAUCAUCUCUUCUACUCCUAAUUUGACGCAUACGUGCUUGUAUUAAAAAUGGAUCACCGAGAAGUAACUAUUAAUAAAAAUCUUGCACAAAGCAUAAUCAGUAUAAUUAUAUGAUAGUAAUACAUAGCAAGGCGUCUAGGACUUUAAAUUAUGCAUCUUAUUAGAAUAGAAACAUGAAUAAAAUCAUGCAUCUUGUUAAAAAAGAAACAUGAAUGAUUACCAGAAAGAUUCAGAUAUAAAACCCUUCUCUUUUGAACCUAUUUCACAUCGACUCUGCUUCAAGAUAUAGACUGCUCUAUCUUUGAAAUUUUGGAAAUAAAAGAGACCAAGAGAAUAGUAAAGAAGGCAAU